UUUUUUCUCAUUCACCAACUCACAAGUAUAGAGACUGCAGAGAAAAAACCGAAACAGGGGAGCACAAAUCCUAGAAGAGAGAAGACUUCAUUUUUCAAAAGUGUGGAGGAUCUGAUAGUAGACAUCAUUUUUCGACCAUUAGUGCUUGGGGCUCAGGAUUUGGUCGUGGAGGUCUAGCAUAAGGAAAUGUUUUGAAGUUCUAGUUUUCGAGAGAAGGUAUAAGCAGGAAUCAAGGACCUCAUUUGAUUCUUUUUUAUAUAGAGGCAUUUUGAAAGUUCCAUAAAUGUGUUUCAAUUGGGAGAAUACAUAGUUGUAUAGUUAAGUUUGAGAUUGCACUUGUGUUAGUAUAAUAGUGUGGAUGUAUAUAUUUGAUAUUAUCAGUACGUAUAAAGUAUAAUUUGCUUUGAAUGAUCA
Molecule: non-coding RNA, 414 nt
Organism: Punica granatum (pomegranate)
Lineage: Eukaryota; Viridiplantae; Streptophyta; Magnoliopsida; Myrtales; Lythraceae
Source: RefSeq, a predicted model, not a curated record